Molecule: non-coding RNA, 511 nt
Organism: Paralichthys olivaceus (Japanese flounder)
Lineage: Eukaryota; Metazoa; Chordata; Actinopteri; Pleuronectiformes; Paralichthyidae
Source: RefSeq, a predicted model, not a curated record
UGGGACCAGGACCCUGCAUGAAGGAUUAAAUUGGCCUGGUUGAGACACUCCCCUUUUACAGCAUUGUGGGACUGGGCCGAUCCGACAUACUGCUCCUCUGAUAAAGACAAACGAGCUGGACUGCUACAACCCUGAGAAAGAAAAAAAAGGUGUCUAUUUUAGACAGAAGUGCAUCUGUUUCUUGUUUUUGACUAAAUAUAAAUGUAAACAGAAGGUGUUAUUCAUUACCUCCACCUAGGACGUUAUGUUGUUUGUUGGUUUAUUUAUUUGUUAUAAGCAAGAUUACACAAAAACAACAGAGCAUAUUGCCAUGAAACUUGAUGGAACGAUGUGGUAUGUGUCAGGGAAUUUGACAUUGAUAAUGAUAGCCAUGAAAUGUUCACAUCCGGAUCAGGGGGCAGGAAUUUUCUUUCACUUUCUUAAACAUUGUGAGAUAUUGCGGUUUUCAACAUAUUCAACAUUCUCUUGAUUGAAUUUCGACUGUUGGGCCCUGGUGGAGGUACGCACUGUA